This is a non-coding RNA of Rhamnusium bicolor, 68 nucleotides long. The record is from the annotation of a GenBank genome assembly. Lineage: Eukaryota; Metazoa; Arthropoda; Insecta; Coleoptera; Cerambycidae.
UCAUCGUCGAACGGUGUAGACACUUGCCUCUCAUGCUGGAGUCCCGAGUUCGAUUCCCGGUCGAAGAG